RNAcentral lists this ribosomal RNA (871 nucleotides) under Prevotellaceae bacterium HUN156. RNAcentral describes it as "bacterial SSU rRNA". It matches the Rfam family "Bacterial small subunit ribosomal RNA", at positions 559 to 1433 of the family's 1533-position model. Lineage: Bacteria; Pseudomonadati; Bacteroidota; Bacteroidia; Bacteroidales; Prevotellaceae. The record is from RNAcentral.
UUUAAAGGGAGCGCAGGCGGGAUUUUAAGCGUGUUGUGAAAUGUAACGGCUCAACCGUUGAAUUGCAGCGCGAACUGGAGUCCUUGAGUGAGUACGACGUCAGCGGAAUUCGUGGUGUAGCGGUGAAAUGCUUAGAUAUCACGAAGAACUCCGAUUGCGAAGGCAGCUGACGAGUCCUUAACUGACGCUAAAGCUCGAAAGUGCGGGUAUCGAACAGGAUUAGAUACCCUGGUAGUCCGCACGGUAAACGAUGGAUGCCCGCUGUUGGCGAUAUACAGUCAGCGGCCAAGCGAAAGCGUUAAGCAUCCCACCUGGGGAGUACGCCGGCAACGGUGAAACUCAAAGGAAUUGACGGGGGCCCGCACAAGCGGAGGAACAUGUGGUUUAAUUCGAUGAUACGCGAGGAACCUUACCCGGGCUUGAACUGCAGGGGAACGAUCCAGAGAUGGUGAGGUCAGCAAUGACUCCUGUGGAGGUGCUGCAUGGUUGUCGUCAGCUCGUGCCGUGAGGUGUCGGCUUAAGUGCCAUAACGAGCGCAACCCUUUUCUCUAGUUGCCAUCAGGUAGAGCUGGGCACUCUGGAGACACUGCCACCGUAAGGUGUGAGGAAGGUGGGGAUGACGUCAAAUCAGCACGGCCCUUACGUCCGGGGCUACACACGUGUUACAAUGGGUGAUACAGAGAGUUAGUCGUUCGCAAGAACGGUUUAAUCAAGAAAGUCAUCCUCAGUUCGGAUUGGGGUCUGCAACCCGACCCCAUGAAGCUGGAUUCGCUAGUAAUCGCGCAUCAGCCAUGGCGCGGUGAAUACGUUCCCGGGCCUUGUACACACCGCCCGUCAAGCCAUGAAAGCUGGGGGCGCUUGAAGUCCGUGA